RNAcentral lists this non-coding RNA (20 nucleotides) under Arabidopsis thaliana (thale cress). Lineage: Eukaryota; Viridiplantae; Streptophyta; Magnoliopsida; Brassicales; Brassicaceae. RNAcentral also lists the same sequence under 2 other names. The record is from RNAcentral.
GCCGCUAUGGUGAAAUUGGU